GGCGUCCGAGUUGUAAUUUGUAGAGGAUGCUAUUGAGUUGUCACCGGUCUAAGUUCCUUGGAACAGGACGUCAUAGAGGGUGAGAAUCCCGUAUGUGACCGGCCAGACGCUCUCUGUAUAGCUCCUUCGACGAGUCGGGUUGUUUGGGAAUGCAGCCCUAAAUGGGAGGUAAAUUUCUUCUAAAGCUAAAUACCGGCCAGAGACCGAUAGCGCACAAGUAGAGUGAUCGAAAGAUGAAAAGCACUUUGGAAAGAGAGUUAAAAAGCACGUGAAAUUGUUGAAAGGGAAGCGCUUGCAAUCAGUCUCGACGGCGGCUGUUCGGCCUCUCUUCUGAGUGGUUUAUUCAGUCGCCGCCGGGCCAGCAUCAGUUCUGGCGGUCGGAUAAAGACGCGGGGAAUGUAGCUCCCCUCGGGGAGUGUUAUAGCCUCGCGUGCAAUACGGCCUGCCGGGACUGAGGUCCGCGCUUCGGCUAGGAUGCUGGCGAAAUGGUUGUAAGCGGCCCGUCUUGAAACACGGACCAAGGAGUCUAACAUCUAUGCGAGUGUUUGGGUGUCAAACCCGUACGCGUAAUGAAAGUGAACGGAGGUGGGAACCGCAAGGUGCACCAUCGACCGAUCCUGAUGUCUUCGGAUGGAUUUGAGUAAGAGCAUAGCUGUUGGGACCCGAAAGAUGGUGAACUAUGCCUGAAUAGGGUGAAGCCAGAGGAAACUCUGGUGGAGGCUCGCAGCGGUUCUGACG
RNAcentral lists this ribosomal RNA (738 nucleotides) under Elsinoe fici-caricae. RNAcentral describes it as "eukaryotic LSU rRNA". It matches the Rfam family "Eukaryotic large subunit ribosomal RNA", at positions 133 to 891 of the family's 3401-position model. RNAcentral also lists the same sequence under 3 other names. The record is from RNAcentral. Lineage: Eukaryota; Fungi; Ascomycota; Dothideomycetes; Myriangiales; Elsinoaceae.